Molecule: ribosomal RNA, 254 nt
Filed under: uncultured bacterium
Lineage: Bacteria
Description: partial 16S ribosomal RNA
Rfam family: Bacterial small subunit ribosomal RNA
Source: RNAcentral
UACGGAGGGGGGCUAGCGUUGUUCGGAAUUACUGGGCGUAAAGCGCACGUAGGCGGCUUUGCAAGUUAGAGGUGAAAGCCCGGGGCUCAACUCCGGAAUUGCCUUUAAAACUGCAUCGCUAGAAUUGUGGAGAGGUAAGUGGAAUUCCGAGUGUAGAGGUGAAAUUCGUAGAUAUUCGGAAGAACACCGGUGGCGAAGGCGGCGACCUGGUCCAUUACUGACGCUGAGGCGCGACAGCGUGGGGAGCAAACAGG